This 334-nucleotide unclassified non-coding RNA is filed under the name soil metagenome. RNAcentral's name for it is "partial contains 5.8S ribosomal RNA, internal transcribed spacer 2, and large subunit ribosomal RNA". The stretch from base 1 to 120 matches the Rfam family "5.8S ribosomal RNA", at positions 35 to 154 of the family's 154-position model. The record is from RNAcentral.
GAUGAAGAACGUAGCGAAAUGCGAUAAGUAGUGUGAUUUGCAGAAUUCAGUGAAUCAUCGAAUCUUUGAACGCACAUUGCGCCCCUUGGUAUUCCAUGGGGCAUGCCUGUUCGAGCGUCAUUUGUACCUUCAAGCUCUGCUUGGUGUUGGGUGAUUGUCUAUCUUUUUAGACUCGCCUUAAAGUCAUUGGCAGCCGGCAUAUUGGCCUGGGAGCGCAGCACAAGUCGCGCUUCUUGUCAUGAAUGUUGGCGUCCAGUAAGUCUACAUAUUUUGCUCUUGACCUCGGAUCAGGUAGGGAUACCCGCUGAACUUAAGCAUAUCAAUAAGCGGAGGA